Molecule: ribosomal RNA, 253 nt
Filed under: uncultured bacterium
Lineage: Bacteria
Description: partial 16S ribosomal RNA
Rfam family: Bacterial small subunit ribosomal RNA
Source: RNAcentral
UACGUAGGCAGCGAGCGUUGUUCGGAAUUACUGGGCGUAAAGGGCGCGUAGGCGGCUGUGUAAGUCAGAUGUGAAAUUCCGGGGCUCAACCCCGGAGCUGCAUUUGAAACUGUAUAGCUAGAGUUCAGUUAGGGUAAACGGAAUUCCACGUGUAGCGGUGAAAUGCGUAGAUAUGUGGAAGAACACCGGUGGUGAAGACGGUUUACUGGGCUGAUACUGACGCUGAGGCGCGAAAGCAUGGGGAGCAAACAGG